UGGCCGGUACGGCACGGCGGCCGGCCUGGCUGCUGGCCGGGCGGCGGCUGGUGGACGAUCCCCGCUCGGCCUGGCGGACGGUCGGC
This 86-nucleotide transfer RNA is filed under the name Microtetraspora sp. NBRC 13810. RNAcentral's name for it is "tRNA-Ser". The record is from RNAcentral. Lineage: Bacteria; Bacillati; Actinomycetota; Actinomycetes; Streptosporangiales; Streptosporangiaceae.